This 277-nucleotide ribosomal RNA is filed under the name uncultured Pseudomonas sp. RNAcentral describes it as "partial 16S ribosomal RNA". It matches the Rfam family "Bacterial small subunit ribosomal RNA", at positions 1107 to 1382 of the family's 1533-position model. Lineage: Bacteria; Pseudomonadati; Pseudomonadota; Gammaproteobacteria; Pseudomonadales; Pseudomonadaceae. The record is from RNAcentral.
GUCCUUAGUUACCAGCACGUUAUGGUGGGCACUCUAAGGAGACUGCCGGUGACAAACCGGAGGAAGGUGGGGAGUGACGUCAAGUCAUCAUGGCCCUUACGGCCUGGGCUACACACGUGCUACAAUGGUCGGUACAAAGGGUUGCCAAGCCGCGAGGUGGAGCUAAUUCCAUAAAACCGAUCGUAGUCCGGAUCGCAGUCUGCAACUCGACUGCGUGAAGUCGGAAUCGCUAGUAAUCGUGAAUCAGAAUGUCACGGUGAAUACGUUCCCGGGCCUU